GAACAUCUGUGCAUCUACAUAUGAUUUUAGGGCACUCCACACUGAGGAUAGCAGCUCAGCUUUCUGCUGAAGUUGAUGGACAGGGACUUAUACGAAGAUGGGAGAACGCUAAUUAAAAAACAAACAAAAACAAAAACACCCCAGACCAUCUCUAGCAACAGACUGCUAUUUGUACAGAAAUUUUCAUGACCUCGUGCUCCAGAAUUUAGUAGUAAAAAGAAACACUUUACUAUUCUUGAUGGCAUAAGAGACAUGUUAUCUACAGGAGAGGAGUGGAAGACCCUAGGUAUUCUUGUACUCUGUUUUUAAGGACUGCCUUACUGAGCCUACACGGAUCACAGAAAGUAAGGCUGAAGGAGUUGAGAGAUGCUACAAGUCAUCCUUUCCAUCCACAAAGAAGAACAGCUAAAUCUUGUCCUUUUCCUCACAUUCCUUCAUCUGAAUGUUCCUGGGAACAAGGUUCCUUCUAUAGUCAUUUGAAAGAGAUGGACUUCUCCUGAAGGCACCUCAUCAACCCUGAAGGUAAGUGUUUAAAAGAUGCAAGAGAUAACAUCCAUCUUAAGUGGGACGCUUGCUUUUUAGACUGAUACAGUAGAAUUCUUCCAGUUGUGCUUAGUGAUAG
This 622-nucleotide long non-coding RNA is filed under the name Phasianus colchicus (ring-necked pheasant). Its description in RNAcentral is "lncRNA (ENSPCLG00000000710.1)". Lineage: Eukaryota; Metazoa; Chordata; Aves; Galliformes; Phasianidae. The record is from RNAcentral.